Molecule: non-coding RNA, 25 nt
Filed under: Cricetulus griseus (Chinese hamster)
Lineage: Eukaryota; Metazoa; Chordata; Mammalia; Rodentia; Cricetidae
Source: RNAcentral
UGCCCUUGGACUGCCUUACAAAGGG